Molecule: unclassified non-coding RNA, 336 nt
Filed under: soil metagenome
Description: partial contains 5.8S ribosomal RNA, internal transcribed spacer 2, and large subunit ribosomal RNA
Rfam family: 5.8S ribosomal RNA (bases 1-120)
Source: RNAcentral
GAUGAAGAACGCAGCGAAAUGCGAUAAGUAAUGUGAAUUGCAGAAUUCAGUGAAUCAUCGAAUCUUUGAACGCACAUUGCGCCCGCCAGUAUUCUGGCGGGCAUGCCUGUUCGAGCGUCAUUUCAACCAUCAAGCCCCCGGCUUGUGUUGGGGACCUGCGGCUGCCGCAGGCCCUGAAAAGCAGUGGCGGGCUCGCUGUCACACCGAGCGUAGUAGCAUACAUCUCGCUCUGGGCGUGCUGCGGGUUCCGGCCGUUAAACCACCUUCAUAACCCAAGGUUGACCGCGGAUCAGGUAGGAAGACCCGCUGAACUUAAGCAUAUCAAUAAGCGGAGGA